AGUGAACGCUGGCGGCGUGCUUAACACAUGCAAGUCGAACGAGAACGGGUUAUAGCUUGCUAUAAUUGUCAGCUAAGUGGCGCACGGGUGAGUAAUGUAUAGGUAAUAUGCCUCUUACUAAGGGAUAACAAUUGGAAACGAUUGCUAAUACCUUAUACUCCUUAUUAACUAAAGUUAGUAAGGGAAAGAUUUAUUGGUAAGAGAUUAGCCUGUAUUGUAUCAGUUAGUUGGUGGGGUAAUGGCCUACCAAGACUAUGACGCAUAACUGGUUUGAGAGGAUGAUCAGUCACACUGGAACUGAGACACGGUCCAGACUCCUACGGGAGGCAGCAGUGGGGAAUAUUGCACAAUGGACGAAAGUCUGAUGCAGCAACGCCGCGUGGAGGAUGACACAUUUCGGUGCGUAAACUCCUUUUAUAUAAGAAGAUAAUGACGGUAUUAUAUGAAUAAGCACCGGCUAACUCCGUUCCAGCAGCCGCGGUAAAGUCUAG
RNAcentral lists this ribosomal RNA (491 nucleotides) under uncultured bacterium. Its description in RNAcentral is "bacterial SSU rRNA". It matches the Rfam family "Bacterial small subunit ribosomal RNA", at positions 29 to 530 of the family's 1533-position model. The record is from RNAcentral.